UACGUAGGGUGCAAGCGUUGUCCGGAAUUAUUGGGCGUAAAGAGCUCGUAGGCGGUGUGUCACGUCGAUCGUGAAAACUUGGGGCUUAACCUUGAGCUUGCGGUCGAUACGGGCAUCACUGGAGUUCGGCAGGGGAGACUGGAAUUCCUGGUGUAGCGGUGAAAUGCGCAGAUAUCAGGAGGAACACCGGUGGCGAAGGCGGGUCUCUGGGCCGAUACUGACGCUGAGGAGCGAAAGCGUGGGGAGCGAACAGG
This 254-nucleotide ribosomal RNA is filed under the name uncultured bacterium. Its description in RNAcentral is "partial 16S ribosomal RNA". It matches the Rfam family "Bacterial small subunit ribosomal RNA", at positions 524 to 776 of the family's 1533-position model. The record is from RNAcentral.